Molecule: ribosomal RNA, 559 nt
Filed under: Cytospora sorbicola
Lineage: Eukaryota; Fungi; Ascomycota; Sordariomycetes; Diaporthales; Cytosporaceae
Description: eukaryotic LSU rRNA
Rfam family: Eukaryotic large subunit ribosomal RNA
Source: RNAcentral
AUUGCCUAGUACGGCGAGUGAAGCGGCAACAGCUCAAAUUUGAAAGCUGGCUCCGGCCCGCAUUGUAAUUUGCAGAGGAUGCUUUUGGCGAGGUGCCUUCCGAGUUCCCUGGAACGGGACGCCAUAGAGGGUGAGAGCCCCGUAUGGAUGGACACCAAACCUGUGUAAAGCUCCUUCAACGAGUCGAGUAGUUUGGGAAUGCUGCUCUAAAUGGGAGGUAAAUCUCUUCUAAAGCUAAAUACCGGCCAGAGACCGAUAGCGCACAAGUAGAGUGAUCGAAAGAUGAAAAGCACCUUGAAAAGGGGGUUAAACAGUACGUGAAAUUGUUGAAAGGGAAGCAUUUAUGACCAGACUUGCGCCGGGCAGCUCAUCAGGGGUUCUCCCCUGUGCACUCUGCCCGGCUCAGGCCAGCAUCGGUUCUCGUGGGAGGAUAAGAACAGUGGGAACGUGGCCCCCCUCCGGGGGGGUGUUAUAGCCCAUUGUACGAUACUCUCGUGGGGACCGAGGUUCGCGCUCCGCAAGGAUGCUGGCGUAAUGGUCAUCAAUGACCCGUCUUACC